This 1046-nucleotide long non-coding RNA is filed under the name Hordeum vulgare. RNAcentral's name for it is "long non-coding RNA (HVUL_LNC006954)". The record is from RNAcentral. Lineage: Eukaryota; Viridiplantae; Streptophyta; Magnoliopsida; Poales; Poaceae.
CGUGUAAGACAUUACCCUAUAUUUAUAGGGUAAUGGGAAGUUACAAAUCCUCUAAUUUUAUUAUGCGAGGGCGAUGUUCUAGUUCCAUUCAAACAUGACAUUUGAGACUUACAAAGAAAAGUAUUCCGAGUACCGUCCUUUUAUUUAUUGAUUUAGAAUAGCAAAAACAAAACAAAAAGAUGAAUACAUGCGGAACAUGAAUAAAUUACCAUGAUAGAAUAGAAGCAUUUUCAAUUCGCCAAAAGAAGGAAUAAAUAGAUGCAUUUUCAAGCGGCUUUGGCCGGGGCGGGUGUAGGGGUAGAAGAAAUCAACUUGCAUGUAUCGCAACACUUGUUAUCUGAGGUAUCCUUUUCCUUUGCGCUAUGCUUGAAGCAAUCCAUGUCUUGCUCUAUGGAUUUCUUAUUGGUGGGGGUGGACAUGAUGUAGCUAAAUCUCACAGCCAUGUAUGGGCAGUCGACGUAGUAGUGGUUGGUGCAAGUAGGAUCCAUGCAUGCCUUGUCGUAGUCGGUGCCACAUUGGGUAGAAUAGUCCUUGACAGUCUUGUCGCCUGGGCAGCCACCAUGCUUGUCGACGGAUUCUUUCAGGGCAUCCUGCCCUCGAGAAGUUUCUAGAUUAAAGACUUCUUACUUCUUUUCCCCGACCUCGACGAGCUCCGUGAACAAGUGCUUGAUGAAGGUGACGCUAGUUGCCUCUGUGCUGCAUGCCUUGUCGACCAUGGCGGUGCACGUGACGUCCUUUUUUUCGCCCUUGCCACAGAGCUUGGUGUACUCGGUGAGGCAGGUGGGAGUAGCCUUCUCAUGCCCCGAGGACACGAACAUAGGUGAUGUGGCCGCCGCCACCACAAGGGUGAUGAUGAGCAGUGACUCGGCCUUGCGCUUGGCAUCCAUCUUGUUGUCAAUUUCUCUUUGAUAGUUGGACCACCAACACUAGUGUUGAUCGAGAUGCUUGCAUUGCAUUACAUUUAUAGAGGCGAUGACCCAGGGUCGGGGCAAGUGGUAUGAUAGUGAGGCCAUCAGCCAUUGGAGCUCCAUAGACGCUAAAUUUGG